GAAGAAUCGAUCGGUACCCAACCAGAGGCGGAGACGACUACAUUUUUUCCACUGGAAUACGGUAAGUAUCUUUUCGUUGGGUUUGGCACGGAAACGAAUUAAUUCCGAAGAAUACCACUCGGGAUAGAAAAUUAAUGCCCCAGACACGGACGGAAAUGGAGAGAGACCGGGCCAUUAGGCCGCUCCUAGUUUCUGUCCAGCAUAAUAAUAAUAAUAAUAGUAAUUAUUUUGUGUGGCCGUUUAUUAAGGAGUUAGACGAGAAGAUGUCGGGAGACCAGAGGCGUAAUAGAUUCCAGCAUUUAAACGCGGAAAUGGGUUGUGUAGAAAUAGGAGAAAGGAAUAGGGCCUCUUAUGGACGACGGCCAAUGCGAAUAGUAAGCCAUCGGUGUUAUCGAGUACCGCGUAUAUUUUAAUGGAGCGCUUCAAUUGUUCUCCUUAAUCGUUUUUGAAUUAACACGUUUUAGGCCAAAACGGUAUUUUAUGUAAGAGCGUCUUUUCCAAGCAACUCGGACCAAUUAACCGGGGAAAUUUGGCCGAUAUAUCUGUGGGUCGAAUACCUUUUUAUUUAAUAUACGUAUCGAGUACUAACGUCUUUUAUCGGCUACCGAGGCUUACCUUCGACUUACUCGCUUCUUUUUUACGCAACCGUCUCGGUUUCCGCCAAUGUUUUACCGUAUAUUUAGUCGAGUCGGCCUUACUACCGAAAAUGGCGGCCGUCCGAAAUUAUUUAAUUCUGGAAAAAUUGGCCGUUUCCAGUAUUCCGAAGAGGCGCCAGAUAUUGGACGAUUACCAACCGAACAUACGGUAUAUAGCUGUAGACAUUUCGGGCCGUUUUUUCCACCGAAUUGUAUAGGCCGAGUACCAGUUAUCGGCGUAACUUCUAAACCAUUUUUCAAAUUUUCGCGAUUUCCGGAAUAUCGGGCGCCACGGCUACGGUCCGAGUCGCUAGGCUAAGGCGGCCGCUCCACCGCUUACGGUCCCACUUAUAUUUUUGCCAAUCGGCCGUAGGCGGAAGAAAGCCCGAGAGCGGCGCGGGACGGCCCCGGCUAUUUUUUUCCGUUUCCGACCAUACCACGCUUUGGUUUAGUUUUGCCGUUUUUUCUUUUGCAGCGGAACGAGAAGCCAGUCCUUUUCCGGAAAGUAGAGAAGAAGGCGUCAACGGUGCGGAGG
This 1170-nucleotide long non-coding RNA is filed under the name Androctonus crassicauda. Lineage: Eukaryota; Metazoa; Arthropoda; Arachnida; Scorpiones; Buthidae. The record is from RNAcentral.